UACGUAGGGCGCAAGCGUUGUCCGGAAUUAUUGGGCGUAAAGAGCUCGUAGGCGGCCUGUUACGUCUGCUGUGAAAUCCCGGGGCUUAACCCCGGGCGUGCAGUGGAUACGGGCAGGCUGGAGGCAGGCAGGGGAGAACGGAAUUUCCGGUGGAGCGGUGAAAUGCAUAGAGAUCGGAAAGAACACCAACGGCGAAAGCACUCUGCUGGGCCGACACUGACACUGAGAGACGAAAGCUAGGGGAGCGAAUGGG
Molecule: ribosomal RNA, 253 nt
Filed under: uncultured bacterium
Lineage: Bacteria
Description: partial 16S ribosomal RNA
Rfam family: Bacterial small subunit ribosomal RNA
Source: RNAcentral